Molecule: long non-coding RNA, 325 nt
Organism: Mobula hypostoma (lesser devil ray)
Lineage: Eukaryota; Metazoa; Chordata; Chondrichthyes; Myliobatiformes; Myliobatidae
Exons: 3
Source: RefSeq, a predicted model, not a curated record
GAACGGUGCCACACUGCGGCGAAAGAGCAUUGAACUUCCCAGGCGCGCUUCGGCCGCGGCGAGGGAAGCAGCAUAAAUCACCUGAACUUGACUUCGACAACUCCACGCACCCAAGACCCGGCAACCUGAGUAAGUGUCUACGGGAUCGAGGAAGGGGACCUUUUAACAGCAGAGGAACAGGCCCUUCAGCUCAAGAUAUUUGCGCAGAACAUGAUGCCGAAUUAAAUUAUAUCUGCAGAAGGACUUUAGCUGUAUUGGAGGAAAAUGAGGGGCUGCUGUAUUCUCUGCAUGCCUGAGUGAGGCUUGGCUCUCUCCCAGCACUCCG